Molecule: non-coding RNA, 365 nt
Organism: Pelobates cultripes (western spadefoot toad)
Lineage: Eukaryota; Metazoa; Chordata; Amphibia; Anura; Pelobatidae
Source: the annotation of a GenBank genome assembly
AUCUGCUUCAGUACAACGUUGUUAUUCAUUCUGUAUGUAAAAUUUUAUUUCAUUUUAUUUUAAACAAUGCAAAACAUCUUUGAUUUUGUAAAUACAGCAAAAUGUUGAGUGAUAUGAAGAUCAUACUUGAAACCCAUAGUUUUAUUACUUAAUUGGUCCCUUGUACCGUUAUCAUUUUAUCACUAUUAUCUAUUCCCAAUUUUACCCAUAUGCAAAGUGAAAACACGAAUGUCAUCAAAUACAUUUUCAGUGAAGUAUCAGAAUGAACUUAUACUGUUUGUUGGUAUGGCUACUCAACUGGCAUAAGAUUUUAUUAUGUAUUUGUACGAGUGAUGAAUAAACUUUUGAGGUACAUAAAAGUGAAG